Sarcophilus harrisii (Tasmanian devil) is the source of this 651-nucleotide long non-coding RNA. The record is from Ensembl. NCBI's taxonomy places the organism in Eukaryota, Metazoa, Chordata, Mammalia, Dasyuromorphia, Dasyuridae.
GAAGCACACCUUCUCUGGCAAAUAGAAUGGCUGUUCCCUGUUGCCUUUUAAAGUCUGGCCCACUUACUUUCAGGCCCUUGGCAGAUAGGAUCAGGGCCAGGCUUGUGGGUGUAUUUAUAUACGUUUCUUGAUUCAACAGAGGGAGUGCGCCUAUGCAGGCCCCCCAUCCUGCAUUGCGUGUAGCCGGCUGGCCAUUUCAGAUGUCUUCUCAGGCUGUGCUGGUUGCUGCAGCCAAAUCGAUGGUGGAGACGGCUGAAAAAGUCAUUCAGAUGGUCCGGGAUGAUCGGCCAGCUGUCCCCCCUCCUUCCCCCAGCUGGAGCCAGAGCAGCAAAGGAGACACAGAAGAGCAAAAUGUGAUGAGAGCUGGCAGGGAGGCAGGGAUGGCGAUGAGAGGGAGCACAUCUGCAUCUCCAUUGGCUCUGCUGAAUGUACAUGUCUGAGUAGGUGUGCGUGGGACCAUGCGGUGGCUACCAUCACUCCUGCAGAACCAAUCACCAGAGAACAUCUGACCCCUCCCGUGCCCUUGGCCAGUCCCAAGGUACUGGAUAAGCAAGGGGAAAGAAAACGCCAUCGAGAAUAUUUAAGGACGUCCAGAAACUUUCCCUAGGUUAGAGGUAUUUGGAGCAAAAAUAAAUAGCAAUUGUUACCAAA